AUUGAACGCUGGCGGCAUGCCUUACACAUGCAAGUCGAACGGCAGCACGGGUGCUUGCACCUGGUGGCGAGUGGCGAACGGGUGAGUCAUACAUCGGAACAUGUCCUGUAGUGGGGGAUAGCCCGGCGAAAGCCGGAUUACUACCGCAUACGAUCUACGGCUGAAAGCGGGGGACCUUCGGGCCUCGCGCUAUAGGGUUGGCCGAUGGCUGAUUAGCUAGUUGGUGGGGUAAAGGCCUACCAAGGCGACGAUCAGUAGCUGGUCUGAGAGGACGACCAGCCACACUGGGACUGAGAGACGGCCCAGACUCCUACGGGAGGCAGCAGUGGGGAAUUUUGGACAAUGGGCGAAAGCCUGAUCCAGCAAUGCCGCGUGUGUGAAGAAGGCCUUCGGGUUGUAAAGCACUUUUGUCCGGAAAGAAAGCCUUGGCCCGAAGACGGUCGGGGGAUGACGGUACCGGAAGAAUAAGCACCGGCUAACUACGUG
RNAcentral lists this ribosomal RNA (486 nucleotides) under uncultured bacterium. Its description in RNAcentral is "partial 16S ribosomal RNA". It matches the Rfam family "Bacterial small subunit ribosomal RNA", at positions 29 to 507 of the family's 1533-position model. The record is from RNAcentral.